UGGCUAAUUCUUCUUUUUGUUUCCAUUCCUUGUCUCCAAUCUUGAUUCCUAUUCUCCACCCCCACCUCGGCUUCAAGGUAUUUCUACUGGAGUUUGCGAUAGCUUGAAACCCCUAAUCUUUUAGGAUUCUUUCUUCAUAAAAAUGUUAAUUUUGUUUAUUUGGUAGGGCUUGAAAUAGUUUAAUCAGAUCCUUAAUGAACUCAUAGAUGUCCAAGAUUUGUUUAUUUUGGGAAAGUUAUUUUUUGAUUACCAAGGUAGUGGAUAGCAAUCUAAACAUGAAUCAUUGAUGUUUAAUUUCUAUUUUUGAUUAGCUAUGGGAGUUAACUUUUGGAUGUAUGCAUCCAACUUACAAAGGAAAUAUUAUAGAUUUCAACAUAUUACAAUCAUAAUUUGUUGCUUUAAUAGUGGAUGGGAGAGAUUGUCAUGAUUCAACAAACCCUAUGGCAUAGGUCCCAAGAAUUGUAUUUGAUUUCUCUAGAAUGGAAUGUGGGUGAAUUGGACCUUAAGUGCACUCUCCCAUCGGCAUUGAAAGCAAUCUACCAUGAUCAAAAUCGGUUCCUUAAAAUAAAUUAACUUGCAUCAUGAAAUUUUUUGCUCAAAAAGAAAAUAUUUGAUUUUUACAAACAUAACAGGUCCUUCUUGUUCUGAAUCAAAGAAACAGAUAUUUGUUCGUUUGGGCUAUUUUUUUAUCCUUUUUUACGAUUCAAUUGAACUAGAAAACUUUGGUUUUGCGGUUUGAUGCAACAUCUGUGUUUAUGGCUACUUAAAUUGGAAAGAAUUUAGAUCGUCUCCGGCUUGUGUUUGAACCAGACAAGUUCAAGUGAUGGAGGAUCGUCCAAUAAGAAAUCUAGGCAUAUUUUUGUUAGGCUCAAAUGUAGAAAUUAGAAAAUUUUAUUUUAUUUGGGAAUUAGGGAAUUUUAUUUUUAUGGGACCUCUAGGACUAGAAUUUUGUAGACUCUAGAAUUAGUAUUUUAUGGGAAAACUGGUAUUUUAUUUUUAUGCAGAUUCUUUCUUAUUAGGGUUUUGGAUUGUCUAUGUAAAUAUAUGUAAACUCAUUACCAUGUUAAUUGAGAAUAUGGUUUGCAUUAUUGAGGUUUGAGAAUACAAAAUAUUGAUUUGCCUCCUCCCUCUGCCUGUUUCUCUUCCUUCUCUCUUCCUUACUCCUCUUCCUCUCCCUCCUCCUGUCCUGUGUCAUCAAGUCAUCAUCACCCCCUAUUUGCAUAUCAGGUGAUUGGACAGGACUAGGAUGUAUAUGUACUUCACUCUUCAAUUUCCUUCCACUUUGUGAUACAAAAAUGGUGGGUAAUUGAACUAGAUCCUCCAUCAGUGGGAAAGGAUCUGAACUCAAACGGAUAUGAUGUUAUGCUAGACUUCUUUGAUAAUUUAUUCAAGUUGCAGUGAUAUCUGCCUCCCUGCACCAUCAUUUGGAAUCUCUAGGAAUUUGUGUCACAUACUUCUACACUAGGUUCGAUGUUGACUACAUCAUGUAAUCUUCUUGUUGCCGAGCAGAAUUUCUAACUGUUAAACCUCUUCUAGCUUUCAUAUCUGAUGAACGGUUUUUAAAGUUCAUUUUGGGUAUCUGAGCAAUAAAAUUUGUUUCUUUGGUUAUUGGCAUGUAUCAAUGAUAAAUGGUAGAGGCAACGUGUAUCAUUAUGAAGUUUAGCUAGUGGACUGUUAGUGUUUCUUUUCUCAGUAUGACACAAGUACAGAAUAAUAUAUUAUGUCCUCUGUUUAGCAGUGAAUUGUUGUGGGUGCUAUUCUAGGAUGGUGCAUCCCUAAAAAUCUGUAGAUAGGAAAUUAUAGUAUGGGUGGGUCUCCCUUCCUUUAUCUUAGAAAAUUAUGUUUUCCUUAUUUUGAUUUGGGUAAUUUAUUCUUUUGUAUGGUCAAAAAUGUUGGCACCAAUUAUAAUUAAUCUGCACUGUUGAUUGUUAUACAUGAAGAGCAAGGGCAUAUUAUUGUUGAAGCCCUUACGUUAUGGGGAAAGGUGACAUAAAGCUGCUACAUUUUAAUAGCGUCAAUAGCUUCUUCGAGACAAUAGCUCUUCAUGGUCAUCAUAACAAUUCAAUAGAUUUUUUUCUUUUUUAAAAAAGGGAGCCUUCCCUACAUUUAUUAGUGUCACUUAAUCUCACCAGUAUAUUACACUAUCAUCCUUUUGGCUUCUAUCUUCUUCUUCUUUAAAUUUCUUUUAUAGGUAUUAGAUUGUUGAAUUUGAACUAUUACUGGUUAUCAAUGACGAUUCUCUCUGUCCUAGAUAUGUUUUUUAACCACAGAAGCAUGCCAUUUUCAUUCAUCAAUACUGAUAAGCUAGUUGAGGCACCCCAAAGACUGCAAAACUAGAGUUGCUUACCACUUUAAGCUUUCUUAUGGGAAAUUGGUGGACCAAUACAUUUAGGCAGGACAUGCUUCAUGCUCAGUUAUUCUGUAUCAACUUUGUCAUUUUUUCCUCCUCUGCCCUCCUGUUACCUUAUGGAAUGAGUGAUGACUUGCGCCAAUCUCAUCCACGAAUGUUUGGUUUCUACAUGUUUGCAGAGGUUCUUGCAUUGCUUUUCUCAAUAUCUGCACUCAUAAUUCUUGUCAGCUUCCCCUGCCUCUCUUCUACUCGUGUUCCUUGUGUUGUAGCUUUGCUUUCUUUGUUGGCUCUGGGAUCAUAUCCUGUCCUUCUGUUAGCCUAUGAAUGGUUUCUCUUUGUGGCACAUCUUGGCAUGCCUCUGCUGGCUUAUGUUGUGGGCACUACUUCCUCUGUUUUGCUGCUUGUUUUAUGUUUCCAGAUCCCCAUACGUGGUUUCAUCUACUGGCUGAACCAAGAGCAUUCUGGUAUGGACCAGACAGCACUGGAGGUGUUGAUAUCUAAACCGGCAAGCACAGGCGCUGUCAUCACUGUUGCCAUGUAUUCCCUGAGCCUUGGGCUUCAGUCUAUUGCUCGUUUUGCUGGCAUUCGCAAUUCGAUGUCAGCAAAUCUCAUCAUUAUCCUCACCAUCAUAUGGCUGCAGUGUGGUGUCCCAACUUUGACCCACCCUUCUCAAUUUGAGAGCGUUGCUGCACCUACUCAGAUGUCAGAGCCAUAACCGAGUCCUCGCUUGGAUUGAUGCCUAUGAAGAACAGUUUCUAUUAGAGUUCUGUGCCAUGUAUUUCUGAUGUAGAUGUUGUGAACAUUUGUUUUCUGCUGCACUGUCGUUUCAGGAUGUUGUCUACUGUUUAAAUUUCAAUGUCGUAAGUUCAUAUGACUGUAUUGCAACUAUAUCCAUAGAAUGGUCUUAU
Elaeis guineensis (African oil palm) is the source of this 3258-nucleotide non-coding RNA. The record is from RefSeq and is a predicted model, not a curated record. Lineage: Eukaryota; Viridiplantae; Streptophyta; Magnoliopsida; Arecales; Arecaceae.